RNAcentral lists this small RNA (3491 nucleotides) under Mytilus galloprovincialis (Mediterranean mussel). Lineage: Eukaryota; Metazoa; Mollusca; Bivalvia; Mytilida; Mytilidae. The record is from RNAcentral.
AUGGAAUAUAAAAGUUUUCUGAGACAAUUUGAUGCUAGAGUAGUAGCAAAUACUGAUUCUUAUGAUGAAAGACUUAACUUUUUAUUACAAUUUACUAUUGGAGAGCCACAUAGAAUUGCAAGUGGAUUUUCUCACUUAGAUGCUAAGAAGGGUUAUGAAGCAGCUUUAGACGAAUUUAAUGAUCGUUAUGGAGAUCCUGACGUCAUUGCUCAUGCGUACGUCAAAAGAGCGUUGGAUUGGUCAGUGAUUAAACCAGACAAUGCUAAAGCCUUGGAUGACUUUUCGAUAUUUUUACGAGAAUGUCUCUACGCUGUUGAGAAUGUUGAAGCAGCAAGAAUCUUAGAAUACUCUGAAAAUCUAAAACACCUUGUAAAAAAGUUGCCAUACUACUUACAUGAAAAAUGGAGAAACAUUGUCUAUGAUACAAAGGGAAGAAAGGAAACAGUUAAAUUUCAGCAAUUAGUUAAUUUCGUCAAGAAGGAAGCAAAGAAAGCGAUAGACCCGAUAUAUGGUAAAGAAGUGUUAAGCGGAACAAACUUAAGUGGUAAAAAGGCUGACAGUAGCCCAAAGGCAUCAGGAAAAACUUUUGUCCGUAAAAACUUUGCAACAGGAAUAAAGGAGUCAACUAAUGAACAAACUACACAAAUAGGUAAUAUAAGGGUGGCAUUUGUGACACCAUGCUUAUUUUGCCAGGGAACGAAUCAUUCGCUUGACAACUGUAAAACCUUUGUAAAAAAGGAUUUAAAGGAACGUUUCAAUUUCUUGAAAAUAAAAGGACUCUGUUUUGCAUGUCUUAAGUCUCAUCCAACAAUAUUACACAUUAACCCACGACAAAUUGAUCAACCGAAAAACGAAGAGUCAAAUAAGAGUGUGUUUGAAGACUCUACGAACAUUAUCAUGAUUUGCAUCACUUUGCAGAUGCGAGCGAAAUUGGAUAUGGUGUAGUAAGUUACUUGCGCAUUGAGAACGAAGAAGGUAACACUUAUUGUUCAUUCAUCAUGGGAAAGUCACGGGUCACACCUCUGAAACAAGUUACAAUUCCAAGGUUAGAGUUAACCGCAGCUACAGUAGCCGUGAGAACUAACAAAAUGAUUUUGAAAGAAUUAGAGAUACCUGUACAGCGAUAUUAUUUCUGGACAGAUAGUAUGACAGUUUUACGAUAUAUUAAGAAUACUACAUCACGAUUUCAUACAUUUGUAGCCAAUAGACUUGCAGUUAUACAUGAAGGCUCUAAUAUCUUUGACUGGCGUUACAUAAGUACCAAAUUGAAUCCCACAGACCUAGCCUCAAGAGGUGUUUCCGCAGAAGGUCUUCUUAGAAUGGAUCAAUGGAUUGUUCCUCCUGACUUUCUGUUGAAAUCGACAAAUGAAUGGCCCGAUUCAUUGAACUGUGACUCAGAUAUCGUUUGCACUAGUGACCCGGAAGUUAAAAAGGUAUCUGUAAGUACAAUUGUAACUAGUCAACCAAAUCAGGACAAUUGGUUUGACCUUUUGAACAAACUCAUAGAUCAUCAUUCAUCGUGGUAUUCUCUUAAAAGAAGCGUAGGAUGGAUACUUAAAGUUCGUAAGGAGUUACUUAGACGUGUCAGUAAUAAGAAAGAAGAUAACAAAAUGACACUUGUUAAGGAAUCGGAUUCGAAAGAUACUAAACGAAUAUCACUUCAGGAUUUAAAAGACGCCGAACAUUCAAUUUUAGUUUACGUGCAGAGACAAGAAUUCACUGAUGAGAUUAACACUCUUUCCGGUAACAAAACAGUCAAGGCUACAAGUAAUAUCCGGAAACUCGACCCAGUUUUAGAUGGUGAUCUUUUACGUGUAGGAGGACGUUUAAUAGAGUCAAAAAUGCCGGAAAAAUGUAAACAUCCGAUUAUAUUACCAAAGGGUCACCACAUCUCUGAAUUGAUUCUUAGACAAAUACACAUGGAUUUACAACACAGUGGUAGAAAUCAUUUGCUAGCUCACCUUCGUGAAACUUAUUGGUUGAUAAAUGCACCCUCAGCUAUGAGAAAAUUGAUAUCAAAAUGUGUUGUGUGUCGUCGCUUAAGUGCGCCCGUAGGUGAACAAAAGAUGGCUAAUUUGCCAUCAGAUCGUAUUACGCCGGAUGAACCACCUUUCUCGAGUGUAGGAGUAGAUUAUUUUGGUCCUUUUGAAGUGAAACAACGUAGAUGUCGUAUCAAACGCUAUUGUGCAAUUUUUACUUGCCUGUCUAGUAGAGCUAUUCAUUUGGAGGUAGCUGCAUCCUUAGAUACUAGUUCAUAUAUCAAUGUUUUACGACGAUUCAUUGCUCGUCGUGGUCAAGUAGAAAAGAUCAGAUCUGACAACGGCACGAAUUUCGUUGGCGCAGAGCGCGAACUUAAGAGCGCAUUAAGUGAAUGGAAUUUGAAUCAAAUUGAGAAUGCGAUGCUACAAAAGAACAUAGAUUGGCAGUUCAAUCCUCCGGCAGGUUCGCAUUUCGGAGGUGUAUGGGAGAGGUUGACAGUGGCGUAGCUUGCAUGUAUGCUCAGAUGCUCAAGCAUCCACAUCAUUUUGACAAAAAAAAUUAAAAAAAUAGCAGCAGUUUAACUCGGAAGUAUCCAAAUGUAAGGAGGAUAUGAGGAUAAUGUCCAGUCAUUUUCGAAGCAGUAUGCCUGGUCUUUCAUUAAGGAUAAUUUAGUUGAUGUAAACAAGAUAGUUGAAUCGCAGAAUAGUGUUUCAAGUUAACUUUUGUUCUUAAAAAAAAGUCUGCGUCAUCGGCUAAGGCAGCAACCAUUUGCAUUUGAUUUUCGGGGAAGGGGGAGAGGGUCAAAAACAAAUUUUUUUUUCUCUAAAAACUGGAAACAAACUUUUUUUCCAAAAAUCCAUAGCCCCCUCCCAGAAAAUCAAAUGGCUGCUGCCUAAGGCAAGCAGAGAAGACUAGACUCAUCUGAUAGACUUCAACUAUAGCGAUAAUUGUCGAUGAUGAACAUUCAAAGGCUUAUGAACCUAAUUUUAUUUUCAAGUAAAGAUUUGGAAGCGCUGCACGAUAACCAAAUCAAAUCUGUUGCUUAUGACGAGAAUGGAGUGAUCAAGAACCGGACGAUACUCUCCUGCAACACGUACUUAAUCAAAAAUCAGACUCAUUCGGACAGUAUAAAAUUGAAGUGCCGCUGUAAAAUGUAAAUAUAGGAGACAAAUUCAGUUUCAUAUUGCAAAUCAAAUCAUAGUUUGGAGUCUGCAAAAAAGGUGCAGAGUCGCGUUGAUCAAAGUGUACGCAAGACAAUGAAUAGUGUUAUUAGAGAACAAGUUUUGGACGAUGACGGUCUGAAUACUGUUUUUUGUGAGAUAGAAUCGACUCUCAAUAGUAGACCGAUUACGAUGAAUUCAGACGACCCAAGUGAUUUGGAAGCGCUGACGCCAAAUCAUCUGUUGCUUAUGAAACGCAAAGCAUACUUACCUCCUGGACUAUUCAGUAAAACGGACAAUUAUUGCCGUCGAAAAUGGAGACAAAUUCAGUAUAUUGCAAAUCUAUUUUGA